Bactrocera neohumeralis is the source of this 646-nucleotide long non-coding RNA. RefSeq lists it as uncharacterized. The record is from RefSeq and is a predicted model, not a curated record. Lineage: Eukaryota; Metazoa; Arthropoda; Insecta; Diptera; Tephritidae. The transcript has 2 exons.
GUGGGUGGAAAACACCCUUAAUGUAAAAAAAAAUACUUAACGAUUGGGGAGGUAUUUUAUAUGUCGAAAAUGUGUACAAAGUUUGAAAUGAAUCGGUCAAGCAGUUUUGAAAUGACAGUGAACGCGGACUUUGAAAAAUUAUAAACUAAAAAAGGUCUGAAUAAGAUUAAUCAAUCGAUAUUUAAGAAAAAAAUUCGCAAAGUCAUUUUUUUAGCAUGAAAACCUUGCGAUUUAUAACUAUGAUAGUUGUACCACAGAAUCAAAUUACAGAGUUCCAAAAUUCCAAAAAUGUUUAUAAAAAUGAAACGAGGUUUUGUUCUAAGUGUUUAUUCCACGUUCCUUUUUUCAACUAUUACCUAAUUUUAGAUACUUUCAGUGUACAACUGGCCGAACUUUUAUGCUUAUCAAAAUCUCUACGUAAAUUUUAACAUUUUUCACAAUUUUUUGAAAUACAUAGAUACGAAAAAAGUAUACGCGUAAGAUGUGGCCACGUUAGGCUAAAAGCUUUUGCAUUACUCUCUAUAGAAGCCCAAUCAGUUGAAGAAAUGGAUUACGAUGACAUUGUAGAUAUAUUUACACGAAUAAGGAAAAUGCUUAUUAUUAUUUUUUGUAAGAGCUUAAUAAAUAUUUCUAUAUUAAACAAUAA